This 27-nucleotide small RNA is filed under the name Bombyx mori (domestic silkworm). RNAcentral's name for it is "ovarian small RNA-26253". Lineage: Eukaryota; Metazoa; Arthropoda; Insecta; Lepidoptera; Bombycidae. The record is from RNAcentral.
UCAUGGCCGACACUUCUGAGCCCUUGA